Molecule: long non-coding RNA, 669 nt
Filed under: Homo sapiens (human)
Lineage: Eukaryota; Metazoa; Chordata; Mammalia; Primates; Hominidae
Description: HSALNT0280449
Source: RNAcentral
AGGAGAUGGGAGGAGACAAAGGAGGACAGUAAGCUGGAGCUAGGUCAUGAAAGGCCUUGAUUUCCAAACAAGGAGGGCAUGUCUUAGAGGAAAUGGAGCACCUAUGAAGUCUGCUAGGCUGCGGAGGGUCUGGAGCUAAUAGAUUAGCCUUUUUAGAAGCUUACUGGUAGCAGCAUGGAGGGUUGAUUGCAGGAGUAGGGAUGUAAGACCAAAGCAAGGAGAGCCACAGAGAUGUCACUAUGAGUCUAGGAACAGGCUGGCAUGGGCCUGCUGUGGCUGUGAAUAACAGUAGGUAUGAGGUAUAGAUGAUGGAGUGCAGACAAGUUCAGGAGGUCGAGCUGGAUCUGAAACAAAACAAUAACUCCCAGGCUUAAGAGUAAGUAGACUGUGCUCCUAGGAUUCAUGUGCUGUGGAGUAGCAGCACUGCUUCAGCCAUGACUCCACUGUGUGCAGAGGUCUCUGAAGUCCUAGAGUCCGGGGCCAGCGGACUUCUCCUAACCUUCAUCUCCUCACCCAGGGAGAAGAUGCCUCCUGAGAAAUAAACCUGUCUUCCUUCAGCACACGUUACCCCAUUGACCAGCCAUGGUUGUUUCCCAUCUUCACUAAAGUUGUUCUGAAUGUGGUAAUGUGAUUUCCUAAGCAAAGUAUACGUUCUUCCGUGCAUUAAAG